This 1474-nucleotide long non-coding RNA is filed under the name Phascolarctos cinereus (koala). Its description in RNAcentral is "lncRNA (ENSPCIG00000033799.1)". Lineage: Eukaryota; Metazoa; Chordata; Mammalia; Diprotodontia; Phascolarctidae. The record is from RNAcentral.
CAAAGAACUGGACCACUCUAGUGGUUGCCACGGAGACAGUAUGGAGCAUCUCAGGCAGAGCCUGUUUAGACAUUGACGUCAUUGUGGGUAGGACUAGUUAGUUCCUUAGUGCCUGGAAGGGAUAGGGCACAGCAAUGCUAACCAUUACGCCUUUUUUUUUUUUUUUUGGAAGGUGGAACCUCGGGAAAAUAGAAACAGAGCGGCCAGCCGCAUUCUGGGAAUUGUAGUUUUAACUCUCCGGCGCAGGCGCACUCCACCCUCAGCCUGGGCAGCACGGAGGGAGCUCAGGGGCUGGUCCGUUCGCUUCCAGAAUCAGUCUCCAGCCCUAGGUAUGGUCUGCAGGAACCCAUCCUGGAGCAUUAAAGUAAGGAUCUUCUACUUGGAAACAGAGAUCUGAGUUCCAGAGUGAAGUUUCCAGCUAACAAACAGAACAGAAUGAAAAUAGCAAGGAGAAGGUAACCAUGGAGAAUUUGAUCCAGAUGCUUGAAGAGAAAGCUCUACAUUUGCAGGAUUCUGCCCUUUCCCUUGAGGGAGACACAGAGGAGAAGGGCUGUGGGAUCCUGAUGACCAGGUCUCAGGUGAGUUGGAAUUUCUUCUGUCUCUCCUGAAAAACCAUCUUGGGUCUCACUGAGUAGAAACAUUUCCUUCCUUUAUCUAGGAGCUUCCCUACCCAACAAAGUCCCAUCCUGGGUCCAGGAUCCUAACUCUUCUCCCUCAGGAAACUUAAACCUAUUCUGAUGUAUAAGGACUUGCUGAGAAUGUUGCCCAGCUUUCCCCCUGCACUCCUAAUAUCCUCUCAUUCAUUCAUCCAACUUGUUAUUUAGGCUUCCUGUGUGCUUAGUACUCUGAAUUAGGGCUUAUCAACAAAGCGUAUAGUCCUUGUAAGAUCAAACAGUUCUGUCCAAAUAGAGAGCUACUUUCCUUGACAUAUCUGUGAUUUCACUGGUGUGUACCCUCCUUCCAUUAGUGCAGAUUCCAACCUUUCUCAUUCUAGGGACUCUUAAGCACCUCUUUUCGUAAAUAUCCAUAGAAAAUCUACCCAGUGUGCUGAAGGCCUUCCUCUGGUUAUUCUACCAUCUCAGAGAUACCAAUGUAGCACUUGGGGUCUGGUCUAGUGGAAGACCACUGGAUGUGGAGUCAGAAGACCUGGUUCACAUCCUGACUCUGUUGCCUACCACCUGUGGGACCUGGGUAACUUACUUUCCUUUCCUGAGCCUCAGUUUCCUCAGUUCCAGUGAGGGGUUGAACUAAAUGAUUCCUAAGGCCCCUUCCAGCUCCUAAUCUUAUCAUCUCUUGUCUCUCAUUUUCACUAUCUGACUAGUCCACCUCCUUUUCUGAUCAUCCAUGCCCUUGGUGAAGUCUUCCACAUCUCAUCUCAGACACCAGGUGUGGUUGGUAAUAGUCUGCAGCCUACCUAUGCCUAUCAUGUUCUGAAAUUACUUGAAAUUUUAAUCCUCUGAAAUCAUGGUGGUCC